UACGGAGGGUGCAAGCGUUGUCCGGAUUUAUUGGGUUUAAAGGGUGCGCAGGUGGUUUAUUAAGUCAGUGGUGAAAGUCGGUCGCUCAACGAUUGCAGUGCCAUUGAUACUGGUAGACUUGAGUAAAGUAGAGGUGGGCGGAAUUGAUAGUGUAGCGGUGAAAUGCAUAGAUAUUAUCAAGAACUCCAAUUGCGCAGGUAGCUCACUUGGCUUUUACUGACACUCAUGCACGAAAGUGUGGGUAUCAAACAGGAUUAGAAACCCUGGUAGUCC
RNAcentral lists this ribosomal RNA (273 nucleotides) under uncultured Pseudarcicella sp. Its description in RNAcentral is "partial 16S ribosomal RNA". It matches the Rfam family "Bacterial small subunit ribosomal RNA", at positions 524 to 796 of the family's 1533-position model. The record is from RNAcentral. Lineage: Bacteria; Pseudomonadati; Bacteroidota; Cytophagia; Cytophagales; Flectobacillaceae.